RNAcentral lists this unclassified non-coding RNA (298 nucleotides) under Hevea brasiliensis (rubber tree). The record is from RNAcentral. Lineage: Eukaryota; Viridiplantae; Streptophyta; Magnoliopsida; Malpighiales; Euphorbiaceae.
CCCAUAAGUUCCAGAGGGCACGCACUUGCACUUUUCACAGCAUAUUCCACAGUACUUCAAGCACCGAUCUUUCACUCCUGCUUUGGCGCACCUCACCUUACACUUUGACUCACAGAAUGCUGAACCAGCCACCGUAAGCUCAAAGAAAGAGGAAGUAAGAACAAUACAGGCCAGCAAAAGGAUUGCAAAGAAUGGCUUCAUUUUUUCUCUCCUCAGUAUGACUCGACUGUUGCCGAAAGAUCACUUAUGAAUGUAGUACAAAGUUGCGAGUGAGUAUGCAAAGAGAUGAAGGAGAGGG